CCCUGCUAACACUCUGCUGGUGAAAGGCCUCCCCGGAAGAGGCUAAGGUUAUGGGCACAGACAGGUGAGGAAUAUUCUCUUCUGAGUGACCACCUAGGACCACACUUUAGUCCCGCCCGCAGUUCUGGCGAGGAGUCCUAUGAAACACUGAAGACUCAGUCAGAGCUGAGGUAGAGAGUCCAGAGGACUGCUCCCUUCCAAGCCGCCAUGGCUCAUGGUCAGUGUUCACUUCUCCCCAUCAGAGCCAGCUGAGAUGGGAUGUCCCUGAUGCCUGCCCCACCAUUAUGGACCCCCUCCCUGUGGCCCCUAAGCCCAAAUAAACUCUUUCUUCUAUAA
This 336-nucleotide long non-coding RNA is filed under the name Mus pahari (shrew mouse). Its description in RNAcentral is "predicted gene 43241 (MGP_PahariEiJ_G0005767.1)". The record is from RNAcentral. Lineage: Eukaryota; Metazoa; Chordata; Mammalia; Rodentia; Muridae.